UUAACAUAUUGAAACAAAAAUGCUGGGCUAAAUAACGCCCAAAGUGAUGCCAUAAAUCUUCUUAAUAACCCCUGGACCACUUGAUGCAAAACAUGCCAAAAUUGUGGUGUUGCUCUUAUUAAGGGGUUCUUCUAUGCAACCCUUCUAAAGAGAUUUUCAUUAUGGUGGUAUAGUUCAAACUUUUUGAUUGUGGUUUUUUUUUUUUUUUUUUUAUCAGUGAAAUUCUCUAAACUUCAUUCUGAUAAUAGUUCAGUAUUAUACAUCUGUAUUUGAUUUUAAACCUGUAAGCAAAUACAGCCCUUAUAUUUGAACUGCCUGCUCAUGCAACACAAGGAUCACACCCAAACCAACAGAUGCAAAACAACAAAGGACCAUUUUGCAUCAAGUUGAAAGCAAAUUUUCACAUGAGAUCUUUAUACACAGGUUAUGCAACUUUAGAAUUUAUGAUACCAGCUACAAAGAAUGUUGUUAGAAUGUAUCUGACAAACGAGCUUUUAUAACAUUAACUUUAAAUGGCAUAUGUUGAAUCUAUGUUAAAAUAUGAACUAGCAUUACAGAAAACAGGCUAAACUAUUAACUAGCAUUACAGAAAACAGGUUAAAAUAUUAACUAGCAUUACAGAAAACAGGUUAAAAUAUGAACUAGCAUUAAAGAAAACAGGUUAAAAUAUGAACUAGCAUUACAGAAAACAGGUUAAAAUAUGAAGUAGCAUUAAAGAAAACAGGUUAAAAUAUGAAGUAGCAUUACAGAAAACAGGCUAAACCAUUAACUAGCAUUACAGAAAACAGGUUAAAAUAUGAACUAGCAUUACAGAAAACAGGUUAAAAUAUGAACUAGCAUUACAGAAAACAGGCUAAACCAUUAACUAACAUUACAGAAAACAGGUUAAAAUAUGAACUAGCAUUACAGAAAACAGGCUAAAAUAUGAACUAGCAUUACAGAAAACAGGCUAAAAUAUGAACUAGCAUUACAGAAAACAGGCUAAACCAUUAACUAACAUUACAGAAAACAGGUUAAAAUAUGAACUAGCAUUACAGUACACAAACUUAACCAUGAAUUAGCAUUACACAUAACAAACUAAACCAUGAACUACUAUUAUAGCAAACAGGCUAAACCAUAACCUAGCAUUACAAUAAAAAGGCAAAAUCUAUGGACUAGCAUUAUAGUAAACAGUUCAAAUAUGAACGAGUAAUCAAUGACCUAACAUUACAACAAAUCAUUAAAUCAUGAACUAGCAUUUUAGUAAACUGGCUAAACUAUGGGCUAGCAUUAUACUAAACAGCUAACAUAUAAACAUGAAUUUCUUAGUGAGAUUUUGUAGCAAAAAUACACAUCUAGCUUAAUACACUGGCAUUUUAAACUUCUGAAAACCACAAGAUGUGAAAUUACUUAAUUUACAAAUCAUUCUUGAUGACUCAUAAAACAAACAGUCAAUAUGUUGUUAUUAUCAAGAAAUUAAUGGAUAAACACCAACACCAAGCUAAUGGGUAGUUGGCCAGGGAUGGGGGGAGGUCAUAUUUUCUCUUCACUUUGCUUCCUCAAGCAAAACAAAAGUGUGCCAUUACUGUGGACUAUAAAUGUGUGUUCAUGUGAAUGUAAAAUUCCACUACAACUCGACACACAAUUUCCACACUCUGUUUUCAAGAAAAUGUUUCCUUUUGCCACUUUUGCCUUCGCAAACAUCAAACAUCAGGAGCAUCUGAGGCCCUUCCACAGGCCUGACAAUGUGACCUAGUAAUACAAUAUCACUUCAUUAAAACUGUGCACACAUGCUCACAAACAGUUGUUCUUUAAUCUUCUACCAACUGUUUGGUAUUUGUUGGACAGAUAAAGCAUAUGAGAUAUAGACAUAACUGACCAACAAUAAUAUUUGUGCUCAGUAAAUCCACAUCAUUCAAAUGUUGUUUACUGCAGUAAUACAUCAUAAAUCACAAUGCUGAAUAGAGUUCCUGGUGCUAACUUUUGAUCUAAAGGAAUACAGCCAGGUUUGUUAACCUCACUGCAUGGCUAUCGUUACACCUAGCUUGCACAACAACACAAGCUUCAACAAACCAUGAAGCUUAAAAAUGAACCAUGAAGCAGUUACAUGAUCUGAAGUCAUGAUCAGGUAACUACCUGACAACAAUAAAAAUUUAACUUGUGUAAUAGACCAGAGAUCUUUUGAAAUCCAUUAAUUGAUGCGUAGUGACUCUGAAAAUUAGCAUACAGUCUUCUGUCAAACUGCUGGAACGGCAAGGCCAGUUCAUUUAUUUUUGCUGUAGACUGAACACAUCUGGCCUUGAGAUCAAAAGAUGAAUAUGAGAAGAGAGUUUAGAAUUUCAGCUUUUAUUUCCUGGUACUUACAACCCCAAUUCCAAAAAAGUUGGGACACUGUGUAAAAUGUACAUAAAUGUAAAUAAAAACAGAAUGCAAAGAUUUGCAAAUCCCAUAAACCCAUAUGUUAUUUACAAUAGAACAUAUGAAAACAUAUCAAAUGUUUAAACUGAGUAAAUGUACCAUUUAAAGAAAUAAAUAAGGUAGUUUUGAAUUUGAUGGCCGUAAACAUGUCUCAAAAAAGUUGGGACGGGGGCAACAAAAGGCUGGAAAAGUAAGUGUUAGUAAAAAAGACACAGCUGGAGGUUAAUUGGGAACAGGUCAGUAACAUGACUGGGUAUAAAAAGAGUAUCUUCUAGAGGCGGAGUCUUUCAGAAGUAAAGAUGGGCAGAGGUUCACCAAUCUGCGAAAACCUGCAUCUACAAUUUGUGGAACAAUUUCAGAAUAAUGUUCCUCAAUGUAAAAUUGCGAAGACUAUGAAUAUCUCAUCAUCAACAGUACGUAAUAUCGUCAAAAGAUUCAGAGAAUCUGGUCAAAUCUCUGUGAAAUCUCCACCUUUUUGGAAUUGGGAUGUGUUGAACAACACAAAACAGAACCUUUUUUAUCAGACCACCCAAUUGUUAGGCGAGUAAAAGUAUAGAAACAGACAAGUCUUGAAGUAAAUUAAAGUAAAUAGCAGUUAAUAUUUGUUUGAUUAUCCCUUGCUUGCAAUAACUGCACCAAGUCUGCGACUCACUAACACCACCAAAUUACUGGUGUCUUCUUUUGUGGUGCUUUUCCAGCCUUCUACAGGAGCUUCUUUUAGUUGUUGUUGUUGUUUUUUUGUUUUGUUUGUUUUUUUUUUUU
Long non-coding RNA from Ictalurus punctatus (channel catfish), 3159 nucleotides. The record is from Ensembl. NCBI's taxonomy places the organism in Eukaryota, Metazoa, Chordata, Actinopteri, Siluriformes, Ictaluridae.